AUGCCGGACAGCAGCGGCGCCACCGUGCUGAACGAUCUCCCCGUGUGUCUCGUCGCCGACGAGAUCCUGGUCCGGCUGUCGCCCAAGCACGUGCUCCGCUGCCGCGCCGUCCAAAAGUCGUGGCGCGCCGCCACUUCCACCGACAAGUUCAUCCUGGACAACCACCGUCGCCAGCCGUCGCUCCCCAUCAUCCAGCGACACAAAGCGGGACUCUCCCGUUUCGCCGCCGCCGGGGAUCACAAGAUCUGGCCCGUCAUCCGGUACACCUGCCAUACAGUUUCCGAUAUCUCCGUCAUACACCACGCCGCCUGCGAUGGCCUCCUCAUCCUGUCGCGGGAGUCCAGCUUCUACAUCUGCAACCCGGCCACCCGCAAGUGCGCUUCCUUGUCACAUCCUCCACUGCGGCAAGGAUUCAGCGCCGCCACCGUCGUCGCCUUCUACCGGCACCAAUUGUCCGGAGAGCACCGCGUGCUCUGGGCGAUAUACUCGGCACCCAUGGCGAGGGGCGCCACGGUCAAGCCGCCUGCUUACUUCGUCCUCCCGGUGGGAUCUGACCAGCCGAGAUGUGUUCAAUGGCCGACAGAUCUAAGGAAUUUUCCUGCUACCCGGUCCUCGGAUUGCCCACCAGUACACCAUCGUGGUGGCCUGCACUGGGCACUGGGCCUCAGCAUAACGGUAUUCGACACCGUGACCGAGACAUUCCGGCAGAUGAGCCACCCGGCACAGUUGCCGGGUGACAUGGUGUUAUUGUUCGAUCUUGGUGGCGACCUUGCUUUGCGCCGCACGUCCGGCGACUGCGUCACUCUAGACCUUUGGGUGCUGCAGGACUAUGAUGCCGAGACGUGGGCAUUUCGAUACCGGAUUGACUUGCGGGUGAUGGAGGCAUCACCGCCGCUUAAUUUGAGUGUGGAGCAUGUCCCUAUGAUGGCUGUGAUCAAUGGCCGUGAGCUGUUGAUCCAACAUGGUCCUUACCGUCUAUUGCAUUGUGGCAUUGAUGGUGUGUUUUUAGGAAAUGUGGAAAGCAAAGACCAUGAAAACAUUUUGAGUCAGUUUGCAAAACCUUUGAAACUCACUAGGCAUCGCCUCCAGGAGAGCAUGAUUUCACUUCCAUUGUUUGAGAAACGACAAGAUGAUGUGAACGAGGAGCCUCCGUUCACAAUACUUCUAUAA
This 1170-nucleotide ribosomal RNA is filed under the name Triticum aestivum (bread wheat). RNAcentral describes it as "partial small subunit ribosomal RNA". The record is from RNAcentral. Lineage: Eukaryota; Viridiplantae; Streptophyta; Magnoliopsida; Poales; Poaceae.